GGGCGCUUAGCUUAGCUAGGUAGAGCGACGGGCUCUUAACCCGUAGGCCAGGGGUUCGAACCCCCUAGCGCCCGCCA
RNAcentral lists this transfer RNA (77 nucleotides) under Methanobacteriota archaeon. RNAcentral's name for it is "Euryarchaeota archaeon tRNA-Lys". It matches the Rfam family "tRNA". From Rfam's summary of the family: Transfer RNA (tRNA) molecules are approximately 80 nucleotides in length. Their secondary structure includes four short double-helical elements and three loops (D, anti-codon, and T loops). The record is from RNAcentral. RNAcentral also lists the same sequence under 4 other names. Lineage: Archaea; Methanobacteriati; Methanobacteriota.